RNAcentral lists this transfer RNA (74 nucleotides) under Pentapodus setosus (butterfly whiptail). RNAcentral's name for it is "tRNA-Leu". It matches the Rfam family "tRNA". From Rfam's summary of the family: Transfer RNA (tRNA) molecules are approximately 80 nucleotides in length. Their secondary structure includes four short double-helical elements and three loops (D, anti-codon, and T loops). Lineage: Eukaryota; Metazoa; Chordata; Actinopteri; Spariformes; Nemipteridae. The record is from RNAcentral.
GCUGGAAUGGCAGAGCCCGGCCAUUGCAAAAGGUCUAAGCCCUUUACACAGAGGUUCAAGUCCUCUUUCCAGUU